Molecule: ribosomal RNA, 406 nt
Filed under: uncultured bacterium
Lineage: Bacteria
Description: partial 16S ribosomal RNA
Rfam family: Bacterial small subunit ribosomal RNA
Source: RNAcentral
GAUGAACGCUAGCUACAGGCUUAACACAUGCAAGUCGAGGGACCUGCGCACGGGUGAGUAACACGUAUCCAACCUGCCCUUUACUCGGGGAUAGCCUUUCGAAAGAAAGAUUAAUACCCGAUAUAAAGGAUGGGGAUGCGUUCCAUUAGGUUGUUGGUGAGGUAACCGCUCACCAAGCCUUCGCUGGAUAGGGGUUCUGAGAGGAAGGUGCCCUAGAUUGUAACUGAGACGCGGUCCAAACUCCUACGCGAGGCAGCAGUGAGGAAUAUUGGGCAAUGGGCGCUAGCCUGAACCAGCCAAAUAGCGUGAAGGAUGAAGGCUGAGGGGUCGUAAACUUCUUUGAGAUAGGAAUAUGUAUUUUAUGAACAAGGAUAGGCGAACUCCGUGCAAGCAGCCGCGGUAAUUC